GUAGGGUGCGAGCGUUGUUCGGAAUUACUAGGCGUAAAGCGCGUGUAGGCGGCUCGCUAAGUCUGGUGUGAAAUCCCUGAGCUCAACUCAGGAAUUGCAUUGGAAACUGGUGAGCUUGAGUCCGGAAGAGGGUGGUGGAAUUCCUGGUGUAGAGGUGAAAUUCGUAGAUAUCAGGAGGAACACCGGUGGCGAAGGCGGCCACCUGGGCCGGUACUGACGCUGAGACGCGAAAGCGUGGGGAGCAAACAGGAUUAGAUACCCUGGUAGUCCACGCUGUAAACGAUGAGUGCUAGAUGUUGCGGGUAUUGACCCCUGCAGCGUCGCAGGUAACCCAUUAAGCACUCCGCCUGGGAAGUACGGCCGCAAGGCUA
This 371-nucleotide ribosomal RNA is filed under the name uncultured bacterium. Its description in RNAcentral is "bacterial SSU rRNA". It matches the Rfam family "Bacterial small subunit ribosomal RNA", at positions 527 to 896 of the family's 1533-position model. The record is from RNAcentral.